Molecule: long non-coding RNA, 1063 nt
Organism: Hippocampus zosterae (dwarf seahorse)
Lineage: Eukaryota; Metazoa; Chordata; Actinopteri; Syngnathiformes; Syngnathidae
Exons: 2
Source: RefSeq, a predicted model, not a curated record
AUGAUGCAAUCCUGGACGAACACGAGUCCUCCUUUCAUUUCUUUGCUUUCCUUUCUCACUGGUCUCGCUUGAUGUAGUUCGCGUGUAGGAGCCAGCGCCGCAUGGCGACGGGGAAGGGGUUAAGAGUAAUAAAAAGCACGAACAUUCUCUCACGAAUGCUUUUAUAUUUUGGUUAUGACCACUUCUAUUUUUUUAGUUUACGCUUGUAAGUCUUCACUUGAUUUUAUAGAUAGAUUGAUAGAGAGAGAUGAUUAGCUCUCGACCACUCCAGGGUGUGGCAGUUGGGAUAGAGCCGCCUAAAACGAAAACGACUAAGUGUAGAAUAUUAAACUAUUUUCAUUGUCCCACUCUUGUGCGACUUGCCUUUUUCCAAAUGCCUUAUACAGUACAGUAUAUUUCUACUGUGGUAUGCGCCGCAUGCAGCGAUGUUUGACGCCCUCCUAGUGAAUUUUUGACGCAAUUGCCGGCGGGAGUGAACCAGUCUGUCGCCAGGUCGCCGUCGGCAUCAGGUUAUGCUCACCUGAUUGUUGUCAAUCGGGAUAAGCACGCAACCAGCUGACUCGCCACCUAUUUGCCUUCAUUGUGCUCAUUGCCAUUUUUGCCGCCGGAGUUGUUCAAGCGGUGAAAAAAAAUCGAAACAGCACAGAGAAGAUUGUUGGCAACAAACCUGCCAAAUUUCAAUAAAAUAAAAAUCAUGUAAAAUGAGGCUUGAUAGUGGUGAAAAGUCAAGCGCUUCUCUCUGCUCUCAAACAGAUUUGGCCAGUUUCAUGUGCUGAAACCGGACCCUGCUCAAAUGUUGAUCGAAAACCGCAACUACAAACUUGAAAAAAUGGAUACUAGUUUAUGGAGCAUCUUGCUCAUGCGUACACAAAACAUGCUUGAGCUGGAAUUCCCCCUUCCUCAAUUCUCCUCAACUGGAAGAAUCAACAAAAAUAAACAACAGGCCACACAUUGUCUUAUAAAUAUUCUAACUGCAAAUAUUUGAAUAGAAUACAACACAUUUCUAUUGUCACUGUCACAGAGACAAUGCAAAUCAACAAAAAUAAAACAUUUACAAAUAAAA